CUGAGCCUCAGUUUUGGCGUUUUCAUGAGUCUUAAUUACGAAUGAAAUUCGGCACUUUGAAGCCAAACUCGGAAAGAAGCGGAAACAGAAUUGAAUGAGCUGAUAUAGAAUUAGACAGGAAAAACAUAUUAUGAGAAUACAUUAUUACAGUACAGACCAUUGAUGCUGGAAGUGAGUGGAUAGUGUUACCGGAGACUCAGGGAUCCAGAAAAUAGAUCCAUAAAUUGUACAGUGUAUUCAUGAAAGUGGAUAAAAUAAAUGUUCAAUCCAAGAGUAACAUUCUUUGUUUGUCUGUUAGCAUUUUUUAUUGAUGUAAAUCUAAUAACUAUCAAUUUUUAGCAUGCAGAUUCAUAAUCAUUAGAUAGUAGAAGAAUCUGAAACAUAUCUUUAUAUUCUGCAUUUUGAAGUAUCAUAAUUAAAACAAGGUCAAUAUCAAAUGAUCAAUCAAUUAAUUUCAAAACUGACA
Long non-coding RNA from Saccostrea cuccullata (small rock oyster), 466 nucleotides. RefSeq lists it as uncharacterized. NCBI's taxonomy places the organism in Eukaryota, Metazoa, Mollusca, Bivalvia, Ostreida, Ostreidae. The transcript is spliced from 3 exons. The record is from RefSeq and is a predicted model, not a curated record.